GCCGCCGCCUGUGCCCCUCUGCUGAGUCUGCUUGAGAUGUUUUGCAGACCCUGCACUCAUUGGAUCAGCUGACUACCUAGACCGGUAACCUGGCUCAAUCAGUUCUGCCAUUACACCCAGGAACAGAAAACAGCAAGAAAACCUCACUUCGACUCCCUGUGAUUCCGUCUUCAACCUGACCAAUCAGCACUCCCCGCUUCCCAAGCUCCUACUCGCCAAAUUAUCUUUAAGAACUCUGAUCCUCAAAUGCUCAGGGAGACUAAUUUGUGUAAUAAUAAAACUCUGGUCUCCCACACAGCUGGCUCUGCGUGAAUUACUCUUUCUCCAUUGCAA
This 333-nucleotide long non-coding RNA is filed under the name Pan troglodytes (chimpanzee). Its description in RNAcentral is "long non-coding RNA NONPTRT002234". Lineage: Eukaryota; Metazoa; Chordata; Mammalia; Primates; Hominidae. The record is from RNAcentral.